RNAcentral lists this small RNA (135 nucleotides) under Conexibacter woesei. Its description in RNAcentral is "c-di-AMP sequence". It matches the Rfam family "c-di-AMP riboswitch aptamer (ydaO/yuaA leader)", at positions 12 to 118 of the family's 134-position model. From Rfam's summary of the family: This family represents a conserved RNA structure found upstream of the ydaO and yuaA genes in Bacillus subtilis and related genes in other bacteria. The ydaO/yuaA element is thought to act as a genetic "off" switch for the ydaO and yuaA genes in its native state. It is believed that the element may be triggered during osmotic shock leading to activation of ydaO, a predicted amino acid transporter gene, and members of the yuaA-yubG operon which code for KtrA and KtrB K+ transporters. RNAcentral also lists the same sequence under 1 other name. Lineage: Bacteria; Bacillati; Actinomycetota; Thermoleophilia; Solirubrobacterales; Conexibacteraceae. The record is from RNAcentral.
GCCGAACGGUCAUGCGUCCGACGCCUGACCGACGGGGGAACCACUUGCGAGCCUCGGCUCGCGGGGGCGAAUCGGUCGCAGCUCGGACCGUAGCGGUGCUUCGGCAUCGCGAGCCCGUCAGCUCACCUCGUAGGC